RNAcentral lists this ribosomal RNA (447 nucleotides) under uncultured bacterium. RNAcentral's name for it is "partial 16S ribosomal RNA". It matches the Rfam family "Bacterial small subunit ribosomal RNA", at positions 328 to 792 of the family's 1533-position model. The record is from RNAcentral.
UCGCCAGACUCCUACGGGAGGCAGCAGUGGGGGAUAUUGCACAAUGGGGGAAACCCUGAUGCAGCGACGCCGCGUGAGUGAAGAAGUAAUUCGUUACGUAAAGCUCUAUCAGCAGGGAAGAAAAUGACAGUACCUGACUAAGAAGCCCCGGCUAACUACGUGCCAGCAGCCGCGGUAAUACGUAGGGGGCAAGCGUUAUCCGGAUUUACUGGGUGUAAAGGGAGCGCAGACGGCAGUGCAAGUCUGGAGUGAAAGCCCGGGGCCCAACCCCGGAACUGCUCUGGAAACUGUGCGGCUAGAGUACUGGAGGGGCAGGCGGAAUUCCUAGUGUAGCGGUGAAAUGCGUAGAUAUUAGGAGGAACACCAGUGGCGAAGGCGGCCUGCUGGACAGUAACUGACGUUGAGGCUCGAAAGCGUGGGGAGCAAACAGGAUUAGAUACCCCAGUA